Molecule: unclassified non-coding RNA, 343 nt
Filed under: uncultured Glomeraceae
Lineage: Eukaryota; Fungi; Glomeromycota; Glomeromycetes; Glomerales; Glomeraceae
Description: sequence contains ITS1
Rfam family: 5.8S ribosomal RNA (bases 1-102)
Source: RNAcentral
GAAGUGCGAUAAGUAAUGUGAAUUGCAGAAUUCGUGAAUCAUCAAAUUUUUGAACGCAUAUUGCACUCAGGGUUCACCUUGAGUAUACUUGUUUGAGUGUCACUUUAUUCAUUCAUUAUCUUUAAAUAAUGGACAUUGAUUAUCACAUUUUUAUGUGUUAAUUUAAAAGAAAGUACACUUUAUUUUAUAGUAUGUUAGUUGUUAUUAUAAUGUAGUGAAUUAAUACUUACUCAUUAUUAGACUAAUAUAAUUCAAAUAAAGAUGUAAACAAGUAAGAGAUUUAAAAUCUCAAUAACAACAAAUAUCUGACCUCAAAUCAAGUAACAAUACCCGCUGAAUUUAA